CCUUUUAAGGGAGACCUACUUGAAGAAAAACAAAUUUAGUUAAAUUCUUUCAAGCAAUCCCAAAGGUCGAACUUGUAUAGGAAAAAAGGCUUUCAAACUUACAUAAGGUUCGUUAAGGUUCGUUUACAUGGGCUAUUAGCUCAGGUGGUUAGAGCGCACCCCUGAUAAGGGUGAGGUCCCUGGUUCGAGUCCAGGAUGGCCCACAUGAACCAAAAAGCACCUUGAAAACUGCAUAAAACUAGAAGAAAUAGAGAUAAAAUCUGUCAAACAGGAGGACACGGGUGCUGAGGUUGCCUCAGCACCGUAAGAUGUCCGUGUUGAAGUAGACACAGACAUUCUCAGAAAAAAAAUUGGUCAAGCUAGAAAGGGCUAACGGUGGAUACCUAGGCACACAGAGGCGAGG
This 403-nucleotide transfer RNA is filed under the name Cryptococcum brasiliense CCIBt3410. RNAcentral's name for it is "bacterial LSU rRNA". The stretch from base 130 to 203 matches the Rfam family "tRNA". The record is from RNAcentral. Lineage: Bacteria; Bacillati; Cyanobacteriota; Cyanophyceae; Chroococcales; Chroococcaceae.